GUGCCAGCCGCCGCGGUAAUACGAAGGGACCUAGCGUAGUUCGGAAUUACUGGGCUUAAAGAGCUCGUAGGUGGUUAGAAAAGUUGGUGGUGAAAUCCCAAGGCUUAACCUUGGAACUGCCACCAAAACUUUUUGACUAGAGUGUGAUAGAGGUAAGUGGAAUUUCUAGUGUAGAGGUGAAAUUCGUAGAUAUUAGAAAGAACACCAAUUGCGAAGGCAACUUUCUGGAUCAUUACUGACACUGAGGAGCGAAAGCAUGGGUAGCGAAGAGGAUUAGAUACCCUCGUAGUCCAUGCUGUAAACGAUGUGUGCUAGACGUUGGAAAUUUAUUUUUCAGUGUCGCAGCAAAAGCGUUAAGCACACCGCCUGGGGAGUACGACCGCAAGGUUAAA
This 392-nucleotide ribosomal RNA is filed under the name uncultured bacterium. RNAcentral describes it as "bacterial SSU rRNA". It matches the Rfam family "Bacterial small subunit ribosomal RNA", at positions 505 to 898 of the family's 1533-position model. The record is from RNAcentral.